This 449-nucleotide long non-coding RNA is filed under the name Medicago truncatula (barrel medic). Its description in RNAcentral is "long non-coding RNA (MTRU_LNC006857)". Lineage: Eukaryota; Viridiplantae; Streptophyta; Magnoliopsida; Fabales; Fabaceae. The record is from RNAcentral.
CUCCACCUGAUUCUCCACGUCCAUCUGAUCGUACUCUGGCUCAACCUGAGGCUAAGGCUCGUCAUCAGCAACAGCACAAUGUGGCCUACCAUGUAACACUCCGUUUUCCCAACUUAAAAAUUUCAAUACAUUUAUCAGAGUAAAUCAUCACAAACGGGAUAUCACACUUCUUAAAAAUCAUAAAUAGAUAAAUAACAAUUUAUCCUUCAACAAAAUACUUCAAACAUCGCAGUAGAAUUAGUUCAUCAUCAUAAAUAAAGUCUUGGCACGCAGGCCUCAUCAAAAUAUCUCAUAAAUUCAGUCAAACAACUUAAUCAUAAAUCAAAUACGUAAAGGAACAAGAAAUAGCCACAAAAGAUCCCAUCCCGUUACGUAUCAGAGCACCUAAAAGGACACAGUGAGGGAUAACCACUCACGACAGCAACUCCAGCUACUUAAACUUGAUCACC